This 225-nucleotide ribosomal RNA is filed under the name uncultured bacterium. RNAcentral describes it as "partial 16S ribosomal RNA". It matches the Rfam family "Bacterial small subunit ribosomal RNA", at positions 524 to 748 of the family's 1533-position model. The record is from RNAcentral.
UACGAAGGGGGCUAGCGUUGUUCGGAAUUACUGGGCGUAAAGCGCGCGCAGGCGGUUCUCCAAGUCAGUGGUGAAAGCCCGGAGCUCAACUCCGGAAUUGCCAUUGAAACUGUUGAACUUGAGGACGAGAGAGGUGAGUGGAAUUCCCAGUGUAGAGGUGAAAUUCGUAGAUAUUAGGAAGAACACCAGUGGCGAAGGCGGCUCACUGGCCCGGUACUGACGCUG